This 253-nucleotide ribosomal RNA is filed under the name uncultured bacterium. Its description in RNAcentral is "partial 16S ribosomal RNA". It matches the Rfam family "Bacterial small subunit ribosomal RNA", at positions 524 to 776 of the family's 1533-position model. The record is from RNAcentral.
GACGAACCACACAAACGUUAUUCGGAAUCACUGGGCUUAAAGGGUGCGUAGGCUGCGCAGUAAGUUGGGUGUGAAAUCCCUCGGCUCAACCGAGGAACUGCGCCCAAAACUACUGUGCUCGAGGGAGAUAGAGGUGAGCGGAACUUAGGGUGGAGCGGUGAAAUGCGUUGAUAUCCUAAGGAACACCCGUGGCGAAAGCGGCUCACUGGAUCUCUUCUGACGCUGAGGCACGAAAGCGUGGGGAGCAAGCAGG